GGAUUAGAUACCCUGGUAGUCCGCACCGUAAACUAUGAUUACUCGUUGUUGGCGAUAUGACAGUCAGCGACCAAGCGAAAGCGAUAAGUAAUCCACCUGGGGAGUACGCCGGCAACGGUGAAACUCAAAGGAAUUGACGGGGGCCCGCACAAGCGGAGGAGCAUGUGGUUUAAUUCGAUGAUACGCGAGGAACCUUACCUGGGCUUGAAAGUUAGCGACCGGUCCUGAAAGGGAUCUUCCAGCAAUGGCGCGAAACUAGGUGCUGCAUGGCUGUCGUCAGCUCGUGCCG
This 289-nucleotide ribosomal RNA is filed under the name uncultured bacterium. RNAcentral's name for it is "partial 16S ribosomal RNA". It matches the Rfam family "Bacterial small subunit ribosomal RNA", at positions 775 to 1067 of the family's 1533-position model. The record is from RNAcentral.